This 1122-nucleotide ribosomal RNA is filed under the name Neotrypaea japonica (Japanese ghost shrimp). Its description in RNAcentral is "16S ribosomal RNA". Lineage: Eukaryota; Metazoa; Arthropoda; Malacostraca; Decapoda; Callianassidae. The record is from RNAcentral.
UAGCUCUAAAGCUUUAUAUUAUAAAUUGAUGUGAUAGAAUUAGCCUAAAUAAAAAAUUGUUUUAACUAAAAAAUCCUUUCGUACUAAAAUAGUUUUUUUUUACUUAAAGAUAGAAACCAACCUGGCUUACACCGGUUUGAACUCAAAUCAUGUAAAGUUUUAAAGGUCGAACAGACCUACCUAUAUAAUUACUGCACUAUAGUGGGACUUUAAUUCAACAUCGAGGUCGCAAACUUUUUUGUCGAUAUGAACUCUCAAAAAAAAUAACGCUGUUAUCCCUAAAGUAACUUUUUCUUUAGAUCUUAAAAAAGGGUCAUAAUAAUCAAAUAUAAUUGUUUUGAUAAUAAAGCAGUUAAAUAUGUGCUUUCGUCGCCCCAACGAAAUAUAGUUAAGUAUUAUUUUUUUUAUACUUAUAAAUUAAAAAUAAAACUUAGCUAAAUAAAGUUUUAUAGGGUCUUGUCGUCUUUUAAGAUUAUUUAAGCCUUUUCACUUAAAAGUUAAUUUCAAUUUAUAAACCUGAGACAGGUUACUUUUUGUCCGACCGUUCAUUCCAGUCUUCAAUUAAAAGACUAAUUAUUAUGCUACCUUCGCACGGUCAUUAUACCGCGGCCUUUAAAAAUUCAGUGGGCAGGCCAGACUGUAAAUAUUAUCAAACAGACAUGUUUUUGAUAAACAGGCAAAAGUAUUGUUUGCCGAGUUCCUUAGUUUUAUAAUAAUUGAUUAUUAUUUCUUGUUAUUUUAGGUAUAAUAAUUCACUAUAUAAUUAUUUACUAAUAAAACCAUUAUUUCUUUAUUUUAAAGGUUUUGAUAAAUAUUUUUUUAAGAAUACAAAAAUAUUUGUAGAUAUUUAAAAAUGUAGAUUAAGUUUAAACACUUUUAACUCUAUGGCUACUUUCAAGCCUAAGAUAACUUUUAAUAAAAUUAAUUUUAUGUAAAGUUGUUACAAGAAGCUUACCCUCCUGCAUUAUAUCCUUUUUCAAAGUUUGAAAAAAGAUUAAAUUGAAUUUUUUUUAAAAAAAACCAGAUAUAUAAAACUCGACUAACGUUUCAUUACUAAGAAUAAUUUAAAAUUAUUUUGAAACAUAAACUUUAUGUAAUCUUAGCUCUUUUUUUUUCGGGAUG